Equus asinus (donkey) is the source of this 2327-nucleotide long non-coding RNA. NCBI's taxonomy places the organism in Eukaryota, Metazoa, Chordata, Mammalia, Perissodactyla, Equidae. The record is from Ensembl.
CUCCCACUAGGUUCCUACAUAUAACAACCCCCUGGAGCCUGAGUCACCAUGGUAACGAUUGUGUGAGCUUUCUUCAGGAACACUUCAGGCCAGUUGAGAUCAUCAACUCAUCAACCAGCCCACGGCAGAUGUCUGAUAGCGACCUUUUGACAUCAGGAAGCUAAAAACUCCACCCUCAGGUCAUGCUAACUCUUGCCAUUUUGUGAACCUGUGUCCUAUGAAGAGGCAUGAAGUCUGACUAUGCUUGCACAGAUUAUCAAUUACCUCACCUCUCCUCAUCUCCAAUGACCUACCUCCACAUUUCAGACCACCUUGCCCCUCAUCCCAUAAAUAUCCUUGAGUCCCUAUUUUUGGGGAAGCAAAUUUGACGCUCAUGCUCUCGCUUCCUCAUGUGGCUGCUUUGCGACUUGGCCCUGCUUUCCCCAGCUUUGGUGAUGAGGACGUCUCUAGCUCCCCAGGUGUGGGAGACAGUUGCUGUUCAAGAAGCAAACCCCAAACUCGCAGUGUUUCUGAACCAAAUGGAACUCGCCCUAAGCCUACACAGCGGGAACUUCUGCACGACUGAGAGUUUUCUAAUUAACUUCCUGAUAGAAUACAAUUACUAACGGAUAACUAAGAAAAUGUGUCAAAUUGAAGCUUACAUAUGUACUAUUAAAAAGCAAUUGUACCUGCAGAAAUUGUUUAGAACUACGAAAAACACAGGAUUUUUUGUGGAGUAUUUUGUCACAGACAUUAUUCAGAAUUGCAGACACAUGGUGAUCUAAAAAAAUGAACUGACUUCUAGUCAGUUGUAUUCCUGUGUUUAACUUCUCUACAAACCAUGUGUCCUUUACUGCCUGCACGAGGGGCGGGCUGGGCCCGCGACUCCGUCCUUCGUUUGCCGUGGUUUGAAAGGACGGACUUAACGCUGCAAGCUUUUACGUCUGUCCGUUUAAACUAACAGUCUUGAAGUUGAGUGUUUUUAUUUUAGAUCUAAGACCUCUCGAGAGCGAAAGGGCGAACAAACGGAAAGUCUGCUAAAUCCUUUUUCUCAGACAUAAAUGCUUAGGAUUUUUAGAGCAUCUUUUACAAAUUGAGAAUUUGAAGGAAAAAAUGAUGAACGGGGUUUUCCAAGUUCCAGAAGAGUGUUUGGCGCCCUCUUGUGGACAGUUUGAAAAUAGACCUAUCAGAUGCUGUAUAAAUAAAUAAUUGCUUACAUUGCUUAUUAAGAGCCGUGCUUUGGGCUAAGCCCUGUGCGUGCACUAUCUCAUCCUUACAACUGCCUAUAAAUUAGGCGUCUGAUUCCAAUUUUGCCAGUGAUAGAACUAACUCAGGGAGACCGGGUAAAUUGACCACAGCCACACAGCUAGCAAGUGGCAAAGGUGGGAUUUGCAGAGUUUUGUCUUAUUCCAGAAUCUAAACUCUUAACCACUGCGGACACACUACCGUCUCUGCACCUCAGAGCCUGGGGGCUUGAGGAGUGCUCACCCCAAACUGUGCUUCCAGAACUAUAGUUACUGGCACAAUUGUGGUGGAAAGAUCUAAAAGUAGUUUUUUGAUGUUCACUUAAAGGUUGUGAUUUGCUCUUGAAAGUAAGCCACUGUGGCUUGGUUUGUCAUUAUAUUCUUCUUACAUUUUUGUUCCUUUUGUGUCUUAACAUGUUCUGGCCAGUUCAUGGCAAUGGUCAUCCGUGUCUAGCAAUAGUAACUCUCAACUUUAAAUAACGUUAGCAAUAUGCUUCAUCUGUGAGGCCCCAACAAUCGUAGAACCAUAGAGUUAAAACGAGCCAGUUCUGCAAGGACCUAGGCAUUAUUUGAUUUGGUGAUUUCACAAUGUAGGCAUCUUGAAAACCAGUUGUCACAAUGAUUGGAGGGUGCUACUGAUGUUUAGUGGGAGGGGCCCUGGAUGUCCCACAAUGCCCAGGACAGGUCACAGCAGGAAGAGGUCCCAUAAGACUUUCCAAGACAUUCUGAGAUGGAAUGCCUGCUUCAACUUGUGAUGGGGUUUCAAGGUCUGGGAUAUCUUUUCCGUGAUGUUUCAUCACUCCCACAUCCAGUGUCAUCACAAGGAAUUAUUUUGACACUGCCCUUAUAAAUAAGGCCUGGAUGAUUUGCAAGAAUGUCCUACUCUCUUAUUUGCCUUUACAAUCUGUAAUUUAUCUUGGCAUCUUAUCUCUACCUAAGGUAUUUUCCUUUCUUGUCAUAUUCCAAUCAGUCAGCUCUGGUAAUACUUAACACUAACUUUUAUCCCUCUGUCUAGCUAUUCUUCUCCUUUUUCUUCUCUGUCCUUCUAGAAAAUAGCUCCUGAUAUUCUGACUUUUCUUAAAGUUUCUUCAUUUUAAGUAGGUG